Molecule: ribosomal RNA, 371 nt
Filed under: uncultured bacterium
Lineage: Bacteria
Description: bacterial SSU rRNA
Rfam family: Bacterial small subunit ribosomal RNA
Source: RNAcentral
GAAGGGUGCAAACGUUGCUCGGAAUCAUUGGGCGUAAAGCGCACGUAGGCGGCCUGUUAAGUCGGAUGUGAAAUCCCUCGGCUCAACCGAGGACGUGCACCCGAAACUGGCGGGCUCGAGUAUGGAAGAGGGUCGCAGAAUUCCCGGUGUAGAGGUGAAAUUCGUAGAUAUCGGGAGGAAUACCAGUGGCGAAGGCGGCUACCUGGACCGGUUCUGACACUGAUGCGCGAAAGCGUGGGUAGCAAACAGGAUUAGAUACCCUGGUAGUCCACGCUGUAAACGAUGGGUGCUCGGUGUCGCGGGUAUCGACCCCUGCGGUGCCUUAGCUAACGCGUUAAGCACCCCGCCUGGGGAGUACGGUCGCAAGGCUG